CGGCGGCGGAGAGGCGGCCAGCGGCGGCGCGGCGGAGAGGCGGAUAGCGGCGGAGAGGCGGACAGCGGCGGAGAGGCGGACAGCGGCGGCGCGGCGGAGAGACGGACAGCGGCGGAGAGGCGGACAGCGGCGGCGCGGCGGAGAGACGGAUAGCGGCGGAGAGGCGGACAGCGGCGGCGCGGCGGAGAGGCGGACAGCGGCGGAGAGGUGGACAGCGGCGGAGAGGCGGACAGCGGCGGCGCGGCGGAGAGACGGACAGCGGCGGAGAGGCGGACAGCGGCGGCGCGGCGGAGAGGCGGACAGCGGCGGCGCGGCGGAGAGACGGACAGCGGCGGAGAGGCAGACAGCGGCGGCGAGGCGCGCAGCGGCGGCGCAGGCGCGGAGAGGCGCUGGCGCCGGCUCUGGCGCGGAGAGGUGCAGGCCCAG
RNAcentral lists this long non-coding RNA (426 nucleotides) under Homo sapiens (human). RNAcentral's name for it is "HSALNT0304045". Lineage: Eukaryota; Metazoa; Chordata; Mammalia; Primates; Hominidae. The record is from RNAcentral.